GACGAACGCUGGCGGCGUGCUUAACACAUGCAAGUCGAACGAUGAAGCCGGAGCUUGCUCUGGUGAAUUAGUGGCGAACGGGUGAGUAACGCGUGAGUAACCUGCCCUUGACUCUGGGAUAACUGCUAGAAAUGGUAGCUAAUACCGGAUACGACCCUCGGAGGCAUCUCCAGGGGGUGGAAAGAAUUUCGGUCAAGGAUGGACUCGCGGCCUAUCAGCUAGUUGGUGAGGUAACGGCUCACCAAGGCGACGACGGGUAGCCGGCCUGAGAGGGUGGCCGGCAACACUGGGACUGAGACACGGCCCAGACUCCUACGGGAGGCAGCAGUGGGGAAUAUUGCACAAUGGGCGCAAGCCUGAUGCAGCAACGCCGCGUGAGGGAUGACGGCCUUCGGGUUGUAAACCUCUUUUAGUAGGGAAGAAGCGAAAGUGACGGUACCUGCAGAAAAAGCACCGGCUAACUACGUGCCAGCAGCCGCCGUAA
RNAcentral lists this ribosomal RNA (484 nucleotides) under uncultured bacterium. Its description in RNAcentral is "partial 16S ribosomal RNA". It matches the Rfam family "Bacterial small subunit ribosomal RNA", at positions 28 to 523 of the family's 1533-position model. The record is from RNAcentral.